GUGCUCACUUCAGCAGCACAUACACUAAAAUUGAAAUGGUGUAGAGAUUAGCAAGGCCCCUGCCAAGGAUGACACAGAUUUGUGAAAGAACCCAAUAAAAUAA
Small nuclear RNA from Sciurus vulgaris (Eurasian red squirrel), 103 nucleotides. The record is from Ensembl. NCBI's taxonomy places the organism in Eukaryota, Metazoa, Chordata, Mammalia, Rodentia, Sciuridae.